RNAcentral lists this small RNA (589 nucleotides) under Pongo abelii (Sumatran orangutan). Its description in RNAcentral is "processed transcript". The record is from RNAcentral. Lineage: Eukaryota; Metazoa; Chordata; Mammalia; Primates; Hominidae.
GUCUAGGAGCGAUGUGUGUUUAGGGAACAUACGUGGCCAUGGCGGUGGGUCCGUGUUGUGGGCCUUGGUGAGGCCCAGCGCUGGCGCAGCGAGAACUUCGAGAGACCCGUGGACCUGGAGGGCUCUGGGGAUGAUGACUCCUUUCCUGAUGAUGAACUGGAUGACCUCUACUCGGGGUCGGGCUCGGGCUACUUCGAGCAGGAGUCGGGCAUUGAGACAGCCAUGCGCUUCAGCCCAGAUGUAGCCCUGGCGGUGUCCACCACACCUGCGGUGCUGCCCACCACGAACAUCCAGCCUGUGGGCACACCAUUUGAAGAGCUCCCCUCUGAGCGCCCCACCCCGGAGCCAGCCACCAGCCCCCUGGUGGUGACAGAAGUCCCGGAAGAACCCAGCCAGAGAGCCACCACUGUCUCCGCUACCAUGGCUACUACUGCUGCCACAACCACAGGGGCCCCGACUGUGGCCACAGCGCCUGCCACGGUGGCCGCCGCCGCCCCCAGCACCCCUGCAGCACCCCCUUUUACGGCCACCACUGCUGUUAUAAGGACCACCGGCGUACGGAGGCUUCUGCCUCUUCCACCGACCACAG